GGCAGCCGGGUGAGCUGUGUGUCCUGCAGACAGGCUGCUCACAGAGGAGACUCCCCCAGAGUCCUGACUGGCUUCAUAGGGAGCAGUUCCAGAGCAUCGCCUGGGGACUCCGUGACAAUUGGUGCUAGCGGUGGGAUGUACUGUACCCUGGGGAUGGCGCUUCCUGCACGAGCGCCAGGCUGGGCC
Molecule: long non-coding RNA, 186 nt
Organism: Dermochelys coriacea (leatherback sea turtle)
Lineage: Eukaryota; Metazoa; Chordata; Testudines; Dermochelyidae
Exons: 3
Source: RefSeq, a predicted model, not a curated record